GUGCUGUGAUGUCUCAUACAACACAUCAUGCUGACCAAAGCCAUGGUGAAGAGAAACCCUGAGCACA
This is a small nucleolar RNA of Poeciliopsis prolifica (blackstripe livebearer), 67 nucleotides long. RefSeq annotates it as small nucleolar RNA SNORD63. The transcript has a single exon. The record is from RefSeq and is a predicted model, not a curated record. Lineage: Eukaryota; Metazoa; Chordata; Actinopteri; Cyprinodontiformes; Poeciliidae.